Molecule: ribosomal RNA, 502 nt
Filed under: uncultured bacterium
Lineage: Bacteria
Description: bacterial SSU rRNA
Rfam family: Bacterial small subunit ribosomal RNA
Source: RNAcentral
CUAGGAUGAACGCUGGCGGCGUGCCUAAUACAUGCAAGUCGAACGAGAGUGCUUGCACUCGUAGUGGCGAACGGGUGAGUAACACGUAGGUAACCUGCCUUACAGUUGGGAUACCCUGGCGAAAGCUAGGCUAAUACCGAAUAAUUGGAUUGGAGGCAUCUCCGAUCUCUAAAAGGGGCCUUUAAAGCCUCGCUGAAUGAUGGACCUGCGGCGCAUUAGCUAGUUGGUGAGAUAACAGCCCACAAGGCGAGGAUGCGUAGCCGACCUGAGAGGGUGAACGGCCACACUGGAACUGAGACACGGUCCAGACUCCUACGGGAGGCAGCAGUAGGGAGUUUUCGGCAAUGGGGGCAACCCUGACCGAGCAACGCCGCGUGAAUGAUGAAGGGUUCCUUCGGAUUGUAAAGUUCUGUUAUAAGGGAAAAAUGAUAUGGUGAGGAAAUGCUCCAUAUUUGAUGGUACCUUAUUAGAAAGCCACGGCUAACUACGUGCCAGCAGCUGC